UGGGGAAUAUUGGGCAAUGGGCGAAAGCCUGACCCAGCAACGCCGCGUGAAGUAUGAAGGCCUUCGGGUUGUAAACUUCUUUGAUCAGGGAAGAAACAAAUGACGGUACAUGAAAAACAAGCCACGGCUAACUACGUGCCAGCAGCCGCGGUAAUACGUAGGGCGCAAGCGUUAUCCGGAAUUAUUGGGCGUAAAGAGCUUGUAGGCGGUUCGUCGCGUCUGGUGUGAAAGCCCAUCGCUUAACGGUGGGUUUGCGCCGGGUACGGGCGGGCUAGAGUGCAGUAGGGGAGACUGGAAUUCCCGGUGUAACGGUGGAAUGUGUAGAUAUCGGGAAGAACACCAAUGGCGAAGGCAGGUCUCUGGGCUGUUACUGACGCUGAGAAGCGAAAGCGUGGGGAGCGAACAGG
Molecule: ribosomal RNA, 407 nt
Filed under: Verrucomicrobiota bacterium
Lineage: Bacteria; Pseudomonadati; Verrucomicrobiota
Description: Verrucomicrobia bacterium partial 16S ribosomal RNA
Rfam family: Bacterial small subunit ribosomal RNA
Source: RNAcentral